RNAcentral lists this ribosomal RNA (453 nucleotides) under uncultured bacterium. Its description in RNAcentral is "bacterial SSU rRNA". It matches the Rfam family "Bacterial small subunit ribosomal RNA", at positions 28 to 524 of the family's 1533-position model. The record is from RNAcentral.
GAUGAACGCUGGCGAGAUGCCUUACACAUGCAAGUCGUACGAGAGUUUUUAACUCAAGUGGCGGACGGGUGAGUAACACGUAAGAAUUUGCCUUUAGGAGGGGGACAACAACUGGAAACGGUUGCUAAUACCCCAUAUGCUUUCGAGUGAAAUGGAUUUUCCGCCUAGAGAGAAGCUUGCGGCUGAUUAGCUUGUUGGUGAGGUAAUGGCUCACCAAGGCGACGAUCAGUAUCUGGUUUGAGAGGACGAUCAGACACACUGGAACUGAGACACGGUCCAGACUCCUACGGGAGGCAGCAGUGGGAAUUUUCCGCAAUGGGCGAAAGCCUGACGGAGCAAUCUCGCGUGAGGGAUGACGGCCUAUGGGUUGUAAACCUCUUUUUCAGGGAGGAAUAAAUGACGUGUACCUGAAGAAUAAGCAUCGGCUAACUCCGUGCCAGCCGCCGCGGUAAU